UACGAAGGGGGCUAGCGUUGUUCGGAAUUACUGGGCGUAAAGCGCGUGUAGGCGGGCCGUUAAGUUGGGGGUGAAAGCCCAGAGCUCAACUCUGGAAUUGCCUUCGAUACUGGCGGCCUGGAGCAUGAUAGAGGCGAGUGGAAUUGCGAGUGUAGAGGUGAAAUUCGUAGAGAUUCGCAGGAACAACAGUGGCGAAGGCGACUCGCUGGAUCAUUGCUGACGAUGAGACGCGAAAGAGUGGGGAGCAAACAGG
Molecule: ribosomal RNA, 253 nt
Filed under: uncultured bacterium
Lineage: Bacteria
Description: partial 16S ribosomal RNA
Rfam family: Bacterial small subunit ribosomal RNA
Source: RNAcentral